Molecule: ribosomal RNA, 432 nt
Filed under: uncultured bacterium
Lineage: Bacteria
Description: partial 16S ribosomal RNA
Rfam family: Bacterial small subunit ribosomal RNA
Source: RNAcentral
AACGAACGCUGGCGGCAUGCCUAACACAUGCGAGUCGAACGAGACCUUCGGGUCUAGUGGCGCACGGGUGCGUAACGCGUGGGAACCUGCCCUUAGGUUCGGAAUAACUCCCCGAAAGGGGUGCUAAUACCGGAUAAUGUCUUCGGACCAAAGAUUUAUCGCCUUUGGAUGGGCCCGCGUUGGAUUAGCUAGUUGGUAGGGUAAAAGCCUACCAAGGCGACGAUCCAUAGCUGGUCUGAGAGGAUGAUCAGCCACACUGGGACUGAGACACGGCCCAGACUCCUACGGGAGGCAGCAGUGGGGAAUAUUGGACAAUGGGCGAAAGCCUGAUCCAGCAAUGCCGCGGGAGUGAUGAAGGCCUUAGGGUGGUAAAGCUCUUUUACCCGGGAUGAUAAGGACAGUACCGGGAGAAUAAGCUCCGGCUAACUCCGG